GACCUUCUCAACCACAUCAUUUGUGUGUGGCUUGGAUGUGGGGGAAACAAUUGCAGGCUUUCAAUCGAAAAAGCCGGCUCCCCUGAAAUGCAUUAGUGGUGUCUGAGCUGCUAUUGGUGUGAUAAAUUAUCUAUGCCUUUGGUGAUGCUGGUCAGCACUGCUUAUAACGGAUGGCUAAAUCAUUUGACAA
RNAcentral lists this unclassified non-coding RNA (190 nucleotides) under uncultured Inocybe. RNAcentral's name for it is "sequence contains ITS2". The record is from RNAcentral. RNAcentral also lists the same sequence under 1 other name. Lineage: Eukaryota; Fungi; Basidiomycota; Agaricomycetes; Agaricales; Cortinariaceae.